RNAcentral lists this long non-coding RNA (719 nucleotides) under Homo sapiens (human). RNAcentral's name for it is "non-protein coding lnc-OSBPL1A-6:1". The record is from RNAcentral. Lineage: Eukaryota; Metazoa; Chordata; Mammalia; Primates; Hominidae.
UAUUACGGGAAGGCACAUUUUCUGUAGCUUUGCCCGAAGAGAGAAGCUGUUUUCUCUCAGAGAUGGAACAUGUUAGCUGGUUGCCAUGAUGUCUUCAUUUGUCCAUCGCUGCCCCUCUGUGAGCAGGCAGCCAUCAGGACAGAGAGUGGCAUGCUGGACAGGCCGACUCUGACAAGGAGCAAGCUACGCAGACAUUGUGCUGGAAUUUCUAUGCUGAAGAAUUAAGCUAUAUUGUUUGGCAAAAGAAGAAACUGAAAACAAGAAAUCCAUCCCUUUCUACCACUGCUAUUAUAUCAUCCACGUUUAAAAAAAAAAAGUUUGUAUGUAGUUAUAUACAACAAGAAGUUUCUGCUUCGGAUUUCUCUGUUGGGCAGGGUGGUGGGAGGGAUGGGGUCUCGAGUUUUUCCCAAGUGAAAUCCUGGUAAUCCUGCCUGAGAGAAUUCUUAUGAAAGUUUCACUCACAAUGAAAGCAAACUUCCAAGGUGGAGGAGGGUGAAGCCGGCUGGCUGGACCGAUCACUGAGGCCCAGUGCUGCGAAGAGAGUUCAGCACAUUAUUCCAACCCUUUCUGGGAGCACGGCCCAGGCUUGGCACCGGUUUGGUGUUCUCGAGUGUGAUGCAUUCUGAAAACCUGGCUGCGUCCGUGGCCCAGCUCCAGUUCUGCAGGGCUCAGCAUCAGGCUGCCCCCUCUCCUAAGGUGUUUUGCAGGAUCGCCCCUCA